Molecule: ribosomal RNA, 425 nt
Filed under: uncultured bacterium
Lineage: Bacteria
Description: bacterial SSU rRNA
Rfam family: Bacterial small subunit ribosomal RNA
Source: RNAcentral
GGGGAAUUUUGGACAAUGGGCGCAAGCCUGAUCCAGCAAUGCCGCGUGCAGGAAGAAGGCCUUCGGGUUGUAAACUGCUUUUGUACGGAACGAAAAGGUCUGGGUUAAUACCCUGGGCUCAUGACGGUACCGUAAGAAUAAGCACCGGCUAACUACGUGCCAGCAGCCGCGGUAAUACGUAGGGUGCAAGCGUUAAUCGGAAUUACUGGGCGUAAAGCGUGCGCAGGCGGUUUUGUAAGACAGGCGUGAAAUCCCCGGGCUCAACCUGGGAAUGGCGCUUGUGACUGCAAAGCUGGAGUGCGGCAGAGGGGGAUGGAAUUCCGCGUGUAGCAGUGAAAUGCGUAGAUAUGCGGAGGAACACCAAUGGCGAAGGCAAUCCCCUGGGCCUGCACUGACGCUCAUGCACGAAAGCGUGGGGAGCAAAC